This is a non-coding RNA of Vicugna pacos (alpaca), 226 nucleotides long. The record is from RefSeq and is a predicted model, not a curated record. Lineage: Eukaryota; Metazoa; Chordata; Mammalia; Artiodactyla; Camelidae.
CCAAAGUCUUCUCAGCUCUGUCGCCCGAUCAGCUGCGUGGGCUCUGCUCCCUGGGCUGAGAGCCUCAGGCUGUAACGCCCAUCUUCUCCAGUUGGAGUCGGGAAAAGGGAGCGUCAGUGCUGAGCGAGCUUCGGUCUCCUCCCUCAGUGUUUCUGCCCCAGGGCCUGCAACAUCAGCAUCCCUGACUACGAACAGUGUGCUGAGGACUAUGAGACUCUUCCCGUGG